UACGGGGGGGGUAAGCGUUGUUCGGAAUUACUGGGCGUAAAGGGCUCGUAGGCGGCCAACUAAGUCAGACGUGAAAUCCCUCAGCUUAACUGGGGAACUGCGUCUGAUACUGGAUGGCUUGGAUUCGGGAGAGGAAUGCGGAAUUCCAGGUGUAGCGGUGAAAUGCGUAGAUAUCUGGGGGAACACCGGUGGCGAAGGCGGCAUUCUGGACCGAUAUUGACGCUGAUGAGCGAAAGCCAGGGGAGCAAACGGG
RNAcentral lists this ribosomal RNA (253 nucleotides) under uncultured bacterium. Its description in RNAcentral is "partial 16S ribosomal RNA". It matches the Rfam family "Bacterial small subunit ribosomal RNA", at positions 524 to 776 of the family's 1533-position model. The record is from RNAcentral.